ACGGGUGAGUAAUGUCUGGGGAUCUGCCCGAUAGAGGGGGAUAACCACUGGAAACGGUGGCUAAUACCGCAUAACGUCGCAAGACCAAAGAGGGGGACCUUCGGGCCUCUCGCUAUCGGAUGAACCCAGAUGGGAUUAGCUAGUAGGCGGGGUAAUGGCCCACCUAGGCGACGAUCCCUAGCUGGUCUGAGAGGAUGACCAGCCACACUGGAACUGAGACACGGUCCAGACUCCUACGGGAGGCAGCAGUGGGGAAUAUUGCACAAUGGGCGCAAGCCUGAUGCAGCCAUGCCGCGUGUAUGAAGAAGGCCUUCGGGUUGUAAAGUACUUUCAGCGGGGAGGAAGGCGAUGGGGUUAAUAACUCUGUCGAUUGACGUUACCCGCAGAAGAAGCACCGGCUAACUCCGUGCCAGCAGCCGCGGUAAUACGGAGGGUGCAAGCGUUAAUCGGAAUUACUGGGCGUAAAGCGCACGCAGGCGGUCUGUUAAGUCAGAUGUGAAAUCCCCGGGCUUAACCUGGGAACUGCAUUUGAAACUGGCAGGCUUGAGUCUUGUAGAGGGGGGUAGAAUUCCAGGUGUAGC
RNAcentral lists this ribosomal RNA (581 nucleotides) under uncultured bacterium. RNAcentral describes it as "bacterial SSU rRNA". It matches the Rfam family "Bacterial small subunit ribosomal RNA", at positions 102 to 679 of the family's 1533-position model. The record is from RNAcentral.